This is a long non-coding RNA of Lycium ferocissimum, 2700 nucleotides long. RefSeq lists it as uncharacterized. The record is from RefSeq and is a predicted model, not a curated record. NCBI's taxonomy places the organism in Eukaryota, Viridiplantae, Streptophyta, Magnoliopsida, Solanales, Solanaceae. The transcript is spliced from 3 exons.
UAUUCACAAUGAAUCUUAUUAAUGUUUAUCGCUUUAAAGUUUUGCUCUGUUUCUUUUGUGGCUUUGCUGAACAAGAAUUUGGUUGUUAUGUCGGCUUAUCGGUUCCAGUGUUAUUUCUUCGCAUCAAUGGAGUUGUUGCCAGGCAGAACACACAUUCAAAAGUUUGCUUCUUUUUCAUUAUAUUUAGCAUAUCUUUUUGAGGAUUUCUAAGAGAUCUAUUUUUUUUGGAGGUUUGAAAUUUUGUAUUAGGAAUUUUAAUUAUAUUGAAAGAGAAUGAUGAUAUAUUUUGGCCUAUUCGACUUGAAAGUCGAUCCCGAAGUAUCCGUGUCACAUUUGUAUGUGUUACUAGCCUUAAGUAAUAUCAUCUCCUCUUAGUUUUACAUCCUUCUUGGGUUUGAGACUAGAUUGUAUGUUAACCUAUAAGAAUAAGCCUUCUGGAAUCUUUUAACUUUUGUGCUGCUUAAUUUUGACAAUUGUGAUUAAAAAGCUUGAAACUAUAUUGAAGCUGCAGUAAGUUUGACUUUUUUUUAUUUUUUAUGGUUGAUACAUUUUCUAGAUACAAAUUUGGGACUCAAACAAAUUAUGUGUUUAUUUUUCAUCUUUUUAGGUUUUUCAGUUAUCAGUAUAAAGGCCAGCAUCCUGAUCCACAAGGCUCCAUUUAGUUUUUAUUCUUUCCGACAGGCCUAUGAAGAGAGUUUAGGCCGCAUUUCCUAAUUUUUUUUGGUGGUAUGACGGUAUCGUUGUCCGAGAUUUCUAUAUUGUUCUCAACUUCCACUUAAAGGCAUCUGAUUAUGAUGUUGUUGAAUGCUAGGCCUAAAUGGAAUGAUUAUGCAUAUUGGUUCCUGCUGAAAAGGUUGUUGAUUGAUCUACUUUGAUUCCCAUCAUCAAUGCCAGCAGCUGCUGCAAUCUUUACUGCGCAAUGCACUCUCGGUGUGUCUAAUGAGUGGGAAUAAAACCUGCGAGAAGCAUAGCAGCUAUGUUAAAGAUCAACUUUAUGUUAAAGAUCAACUUUUGUAAGUAUAGUAUUGAUGAAUGUCAAUUUAUUGAGAAAUCGACAGAGAUGUUUGAUUGUGGCCCUUCUCUUUGGUAUAACAGGGAAUGCUCGAAAUUGAUGGUUUCUUUUCCAUCAGAAGGCUACUAUUGGGAAGCUUACUGAUGUGCACCGAAAGUACAACGCUUCUAAAUAUAGAUAUGCUGCUAGAUGUGAACCAACCUUUUUUCUAUUAGAAGGAUGGUUCUAUGUUAGAAUGUGAAGUGAAGAAAUUAAAGUCAUGGUGAUAAUAAGCUGCUUCAACCAUCAACCUCUAGCACUCUGCAGAUCAAUUAGUUUAGUUUCCUCAUAAUCUUAUGUAUCAGCAGGGUUUAUGCAUAUUUCAUUUUGCAUCAUGUAUGCAGCUAAACUGAACGGACUUUAAUUUUGUUGUCACCCUUCCCUUUAUAUCAUCUGAAAAAUAGAAGGUAAAUAGUUAUAUGUCAUUUGAACAGCUUAUUCUUUAGAAACAAAAGUUUUGCACGUUUCGCCAUAACAAAUUGCUUUGGUUGAUGUAAGAUGAGUAUUCUCUAUUAAUAGUCACUCUUAAUUGUGUUAGUUGCAGUGACAUCCUUUUUGUUUUCACCAUUUCCCAUUUUCUAGAAUUCAAGAACUGCUCUUAGGCAAAACCAAUGUCAUUCAUGCCACUGCAGUUAUUUUAUGUUUUGUAAGGUACUCUACCUAAACACCUGCUUGGAACAAAUAUUGAGUUUCUGUUAUAUGUUGCAUUAUGCUUUUCGAUCGUUGUAUACCAUUUUACAUGAGGAGCUUGGGUGCUCAUGGAACUCGAUAGGGAUAUCUGGAUCAGAACCUUUACUUCUUUCUUGCUAAACUAGUAAAUUACCUAAGAUAAUUCCUAUCAUCUAAACAUUAUUAGAUUAGGAUAAUAUUAUAUCAGCAAGAAUGUAGCAUAUCUGAUUACCAGUCAAUCCUGGCCCAUAUAAAUCUAUUUGAUGAUUACUUUUCUCUAUCCAUAUUAGCUUUGAAUUUAUGGUUAUUCAUUUAUAUGUAUUCUUUUUUUUUUCUUACUUCUAUUCGAUUGCAUGUUAUUGCUCCAGGUCAUAGUUCAGUUGCUAACCUCUUAAACAGGAUUCAGGUAGCACAUCUUAACAUCUAAAGCCACAUGAUUUUUGUUAUGAGCAAAGUGACAGAAGGUGUAUUUGACUUACAGAGCAUUUGAGCAACAAAUGGAACUUAGGGAGAGAGGUUUGUAGUCAGGAUAUGAGAAUAAGCAUGAUGAAUUUGUUGCUGGGGAAGUCCUAUUUCAGGAGACACCGGCCAUGAUCACGUUGAUAAGGUCUCAUUUGAUCGGCUGGCGUGUUUCUUCUCUCUGCUAUUUUAUGUCAUUUUAUCCUUUAUAAUUGACACACCAACUAUAUUCUCCACUAGCAAAAAGUGAAGGAUAAUAGACGAAGAUGAAUGAACAAAAUAAGAAGUUGCUGGCGAAUGAGAGGCAGAUAUACAAAGCUGUGUUUAGCUUGAACAAUGUAAUACUGUCCGCGAAGGAGAAUCUUUUGAUCCGAUAUCUUAGUACAAAGCGGGAAAGAUGAAUACUAUUGCCUGCCCGAAAAUUAUUGUUACUUUUUUAAUCCUUUAAUUGCUUUUUGCACUACAUGCAGAGUUAUAGAGGAUCUAUUAUACAUAUAAGAACCUUUUCCUUUUCUUUCUAA